GGCCUAUAACUUGGCUAAAGUGCAAAUUUAGCUUUGAAAUGUUUUUUCGUAGGCCU
Molecule: transfer RNA, 56 nt
Filed under: Trapelus mutabilis pallidus
Lineage: Eukaryota; Metazoa; Chordata; Lepidosauria; Squamata; Agamidae
Description: Cysteine tRNA
Source: RNAcentral